UUUCCGUAGGUGAACCUGCGGAAGGAUCAUUAUUGUAUAACCGAGGUGCGAGGGCUGUCGCUGACCCGAAAGGUCGUGCACGCCUGAGUGCCCUCACACACAUCCAUCUCACCCCUAUAUGCACCACCGCGUGGGUCCCCCUUUGGCUUGUUCGGAGGGGGGCUUACGUUUUCACACAAACUUUGUAUGCAGUGUAGAAUGUAUUUUUUGUUUUUGCGAUCACGCAAUCAAUACAACUUUCAACAACGGAUCUCUUGGCUCUC
Molecule: unclassified non-coding RNA, 263 nt
Filed under: plant metagenome
Description: partial contains small subunit ribosomal RNA, internal transcribed spacer 1, and 5.8S ribosomal RNA
Source: RNAcentral